Molecule: transfer RNA, 71 nt
Filed under: Orthotomicus laricis
Lineage: Eukaryota; Metazoa; Arthropoda; Insecta; Coleoptera; Curculionidae
Description: tRNA-Lys
Rfam family: tRNA
About the family: Transfer RNA (tRNA) molecules are approximately 80 nucleotides in length. Their secondary structure includes four short double-helical elements and three loops (D, anti-codon, and T loops).
Source: RNAcentral
CACGAGGUGGCUGAAAGUAAGCAAUGGUCUCUUAAACCAAUAUAUAGUAGUUUAACAUCUACUCCUAGUGA